This 460-nucleotide ribosomal RNA is filed under the name uncultured bacterium. RNAcentral's name for it is "partial 16S ribosomal RNA". It matches the Rfam family "Bacterial small subunit ribosomal RNA", at positions 338 to 795 of the family's 1533-position model. The record is from RNAcentral.
CCUACGGGAGGCAGCAGUGAGGAAUAUUGGUCAAUGGGCGGAAGCCUGAACCAGCCAAGUAGCGUGCAGGAUGACGGCCCUACGGGUUGUAAACUGCUUUUAUACGGGAAUAACGCGCCUUACGUUUAGGGCUUUGCCUGUAACGUAUGAAUAAGGACCGGCUAAUUCCGGGCCAGAAGCCGCGGUAAUACGGAAGGUCCGGGCGUUAACCGGAUUUUUUGGGGUUACAGGGAGCGUAGGCCGGAUGUCAAGCGAGCUGUGAAAUGUCCGGGCUCAACCCGGGCCUUGCAGCGCGAACUGGCGUGCUUGAGUCCGGGAAAAGCAGGCGGAAUUCGUCGUGUAGCGGUGAAAUGCUUAGAUAUGACGAAGAACCCCGAUUGCGAAGGCAGCUUGCUGCAGCGGAACUGACGCUGAUGCUCGAAAGCGCGGGUAUCGAACAGGAUUAGAUACCCUAGUAGUC